Molecule: ribosomal RNA, 370 nt
Filed under: uncultured prokaryote
Description: bacterial SSU rRNA
Rfam family: Bacterial small subunit ribosomal RNA
Source: RNAcentral
GACGGAGGGGGCUAGCGUUGUUCGGAAUGACUGGGCGUAAAGGGUGCGUAGGCGGUUUUUUAAGUGAGGCGUGAAAGCCCUGGGCUUAACCCAGGAAUUGCGUUUCAGACUGGAAGGCUUGAGUACGAGAGAGGUAAGUGGAAUUCCUAGUGUAGAGGUGAAAUUCGUAGAUAUUAGGAAGAACACCAGUGGCGAAGGCGGCUUACUGGCUCGUAACUGACGCUGAGGCACGAAAGCGUGGGGAGCAAACAGGAUUAGAUACCCUGGUAGUCCACGCUGUAAACGAUGUGUGCUAGACGUUGGAGGGGAACCUUCAGUGUCGCAGCUAACGCAUUAAGCACACCGCCUGGGGAGUACGGUCGCAAGAUUA